This 73-nucleotide transfer RNA is filed under the name Marmota monax (woodchuck). RNAcentral's name for it is "tRNA.Val". It matches the Rfam family "tRNA". Rfam says of the family: Transfer RNA (tRNA) molecules are approximately 80 nucleotides in length. Their secondary structure includes four short double-helical elements and three loops (D, anti-codon, and T loops). Lineage: Eukaryota; Metazoa; Chordata; Mammalia; Rodentia; Sciuridae. The record is from RNAcentral.
GGGGAUAUAGCUCAGUUGGUAGAGUGCUUGCCUCACAUGUAGGAAGCCCUGGGUUCAAUCCCCAGUACCAUAA